AAUUAGAUAAGCUAAAUAUAAGCUAGUGGGUUCAUACCCCAACCAUGAGGUUACUCUCUAAUUA
RNAcentral lists this transfer RNA (64 nucleotides) under Branchinotogluma japonicus. Its description in RNAcentral is "tRNA-Met". The record is from RNAcentral. Lineage: Eukaryota; Metazoa; Annelida; Polychaeta; Phyllodocida; Polynoidae.